CAUAAGAGAAGAAAGAUAUUACAACAAAUGCGAAGCGAUGCUGCCUUAAUAACAAAAGAAGAAGGUGGUUCACCAAUUCACAAUCCUUCAACUGCAGCUGAAGAUGCACGAUUAGCUUCUUUAAUAUCUCUUGAGAGCAUCCUCAAACAAGUAAAGUGAACCAGUGACUGAAAUCUGCAACAAGAAAGCACAAGCUGCAACAAAUGCUGAUUGGCUCACAAUCUUGUACUUGUGAUUGUGAUGGCAACAUUUGCUACAGGAGUGGACUCCAAUUGCUGUCAG
Molecule: long non-coding RNA, 282 nt
Organism: Dioscorea cayenensis subsp. rotundata (Guinea yam)
Lineage: Eukaryota; Viridiplantae; Streptophyta; Magnoliopsida; Dioscoreales; Dioscoreaceae
Exons: 4
Source: RefSeq, a predicted model, not a curated record